Molecule: ribosomal RNA, 581 nt
Filed under: Uropeltis ellioti (Elliot's earth snake)
Lineage: Eukaryota; Metazoa; Chordata; Lepidosauria; Squamata; Uropeltidae
Description: partial 12S ribosomal RNA
Source: RNAcentral
CGCGGUUACACGAUAGACCUAAGAUAAUAUACCACGGCGCAAAGCACGACUAGAACAAGUUUUCACACCUAAGGAUAAAGCUCACCCAGCUGUAAAACGCCAAAGUACAACUAAAACCCACAUCCUUAACCACCUAAACCUUUUUAACUCGUGAAAACCAGGACACAAACUAGGAUUAGAUACCCUACUAUGCCCGGAUGUAACACAGCAACACCCUGCUCGCCAAAUAACUACGAGUGAAAACUUAAAACUUAAAGGACUUGACGGUACUUCACACCCAACCUAGAGGAGCCUGUCUAUUAACCGAUAAUCCACGAUUAACCCGACCGCUUCUAGCCACCCAGCCUAUAUACCACCGUCGCCAGCCUACCUUGUAAAAGAAACAAAGUAAGCUAAACAGUACUACACUAACACGACAGGUCAAGGUGUAACUAAUGAAACGGAUUAAGAUGGGCUACAUUCUCUAACCCAGAUUACACGAACAAGAUUAUGAAACUAAUCUUUAAAGGCGGAUUUAGCAGUAAGCUGAGAACAAAAUACUCACCUGAAACCAAUGCAAUGAAGUGCGUACACAUCGCCCG